AGCGAACGUUUGCGGCGGGCCUAACACAUGCAAGUCGAACGGGCAGGGGCAACCCUGUCAGUGGCGCACGGGUGCGUAACACGUGGGUAAUCAACCCUUUGGACUGGGACAACCCGGGGAAACUCGGGCUAAUACCGGAUGUGGCGUGGCGGUCCUCGGACUGCUCCGCGAAAGCUCCGCAAGGGGCACCAGAGGACGAGCCCGCGUCCCAUCAGCUAGUUGGUGAGGUAAUGGCUCACCAAGGCGAAGACGGGUAGCUGGUCUGAGAGGAUGAUCAGCCACACUGGAACUGAGACACGGUCCAGACUCCUACGGGAGGCAGCAGUGGGGAAUAUUGCGCAAUGGGCGAAAGCCUGACGCAGCCACGCCGCGUGUGCGAUGAAGGUCUUCGGAUCGUAAAGCACUGUGGGGGGAGAAGAAACAAGCCGGUGAAGAGCCGGCCCUGACGGUAUCCCCUUAGCAAGCACCGGCUAACUCCGUGCCAGCAGCCGCGGUAAAGUGUG
RNAcentral lists this ribosomal RNA (503 nucleotides) under uncultured bacterium. RNAcentral's name for it is "bacterial SSU rRNA". It matches the Rfam family "Bacterial small subunit ribosomal RNA", at positions 30 to 529 of the family's 1533-position model. The record is from RNAcentral.